RNAcentral lists this non-coding RNA (32 nucleotides) under Homo sapiens (human). The record is from RNAcentral. Lineage: Eukaryota; Metazoa; Chordata; Mammalia; Primates; Hominidae.
UCUGAAGGCUGCACUUUAAGAGAUUGGACUGU